Paenibacillus sp. oral taxon 786 is the source of this 85-nucleotide non-coding RNA. Lineage: Bacteria; Bacillati; Bacillota; Bacilli; Caryophanales; Paenibacillaceae. The record is from Rfam.
ACCAGAUAAGGGUAAACCUGUUGAAAAGCAGGGGCACAAAGUCUCAGAUCUAAGGUAGGAAUACUAAGAUGGCUGGACUGCCUGG